AAGUUGGCAUAGAUUUUAGAGUUCAAUUGGAAGUAAAUGUUUUGUAUUAUAGUUACAGUACGUUAUAGUCGGAAAUUGGAUACGCAAUGGUUUUCUAUUUUACUUGUUGUUUCACAACAAAAGUUGGGAAUGCCCUCAUUGCAGCUACAGGGAUAAAUAUACAGAGAGAGUGAGAGGUCUGCAAAGUUAUGCAUAAUGUGGACACAGCACAGCGAGGAGAUGCCAAAGGACGAAGGACCAAAACCAGAAGCAGGACCAACAGAAGCUUAGGAAUUAUGUCUUAUUAUUUUGCCUGCAGCCUGUGGACGAGGCGAAGAACAAUGGCAAAUCACACAGCCAGGACCAAAAGCAGGACUCUAAAGCCGGCAAUCGGGUUGUUGUCCUGGCACUGCACCAAAGUCGCAAUCUCAACGCCUCCAUUCUGUCUCUCUGCCUGACUUGUCUUUAAUGUCUUUAUGCUUCGGCCAAAUGUUGGCUGCUCUAUAGAAUCGCCACACAGAGAAAAACAUUAGAGCAAUACCGAUACUUGGAAGGCAGGAGGUAAAUAUUUGGCAACCAGCUAAGAUAUAAAAAAAAGCGCAAAAAGUGAUGCUGACAAUAAAGACGAUUAUAAGGAGUUCCUGGAAGGCGUAUCCUACCAAACUGCCUCGUUCCAUGAAAAAGCCCUUCUUCACCCCCUUCUUAACCACUUUAAAAUGAAGCGAAAAAUUCCACAGGCAGAUGUUUUGCCACAGCAGCAAGAAAAAAAAAACUUAAUUACACUUUAGAUUGGCACUUUAAAGCCGAGAUUGAAGGCCGAAACGGAGACAGGGAAGUGAUGCACAUACAAAAACGGAGACUUGCGGAAGGAAGGGGCGCCACACUUUAAGUAUCUUUUAGGGAAGCAGCUGCUGCUGCAGUUGCCUUUUUAUGUAAAAGAUAUAACAACCACAAAAAAAAAAAAGAAAAAAUA
Long non-coding RNA from Drosophila santomea, 952 nucleotides. RefSeq lists it as uncharacterized. The record is from RefSeq and is a predicted model, not a curated record. The transcript is spliced from 3 exons. Lineage: Eukaryota; Metazoa; Arthropoda; Insecta; Diptera; Drosophilidae.